RNAcentral lists this ribosomal RNA (218 nucleotides) under Arsenophonus endosymbiont of Bemisia tabaci Asia II 3. RNAcentral's name for it is "partial 23S ribosomal RNA". It matches the Rfam family "Bacterial large subunit ribosomal RNA", at positions 2701 to 2912 of the family's 2925-position model. Lineage: Bacteria; Pseudomonadati; Pseudomonadota; Gammaproteobacteria; Enterobacterales; Morganellaceae. The record is from RNAcentral.
ACGCACCACUGGUGUACAGGUUGUCAUGCCAAUGGCAUCGCCUGGUAGCUAAGUGCGGAAGAGAUAACCGCUGAAAGCAUCUAAGCGGGAAACUUGCCUCAAGAUAAGUCUUCCCUGACAGUCAUGUCCUAUAAGGGGUGUUCGAGACGAGGACGUAGAUAGGCUGGGGGUGUAAGCGUAGCGAUACGUUGAGCUAACUAGUACUAAUGACCCGAGAG